RNAcentral lists this long non-coding RNA (4522 nucleotides) under Homo sapiens (human). Its description in RNAcentral is "HSALNT0079098". Lineage: Eukaryota; Metazoa; Chordata; Mammalia; Primates; Hominidae. The record is from RNAcentral.
GGCUUGGCUGAGUGACUUCUCUGUUCCACAUGGCAUUGACACGGUACGUUUCAGCUGGUGGCUGGCCUGGUCUGGUGGGUCCAAGGUAGCUUUGUUCACAUGCCUGCUGUCUUGGUGAGGUGGCCAGAAGUUUGGGCUGAGCUAGUUCUUUCUCUCUUUUUCUGCAGUCUCAGGGCCUCUCCAUGUGUUUUCUCGAGCAAUGUGUUUGGUCUUCUGGAAUUAUGAUUCAUGGAUUCAAGAGACCACGGUAGAAGCUUCUAAUCCUCUUAAAAAGCAAGACUGAUCAUGGGAAACUGUCCUGUCCACUAGUACAUUAUUUGUAAGUAGUAGAGGCCAGCCCAAAUUCUUAGGGAGGGAAGAUGAGCUCCAUCCCUCCAUGUGAAGGGUGUCAUUUGUGGCCAUCUUUAAUCUUCCACAGCUUAAAUGAAAAACAGAAGCCCUCACUCAUCCUUCACUUCUCCUGAUGCCUGUUCCCCUGAGGCAACCACUUUCAGCUGUCCAACUGCUUAUGUUGGUGUUUAACGCCAUGUUUUUGAACAACAUGGCUAUGCUGCCAUUUCCCUGGAUUUAUCAAUUUCAGACACUGGCUUCUUUUCAGAGUAGAUGGCGUCUUACCUCAAUCUUUCUCCUUCUCUCUAAUCUCUCUCUCUGUAUGUCUCUUUCUUGCCCCCUUACACACACACAUACACACACACACACACACACUCUCACGUAGACACACACACAGAUACACACAUACACAGGCACACACACUUUCCCUUCUCUGAUUACCGCAAAUACAGCAAUGUCAUAAUUUGGACAAUAUUAUGUAAUCUACUAAUUCUAUUUCCUCCUGGAGACCAAACCUCUCUUCCAGAGCUUUCUGCCCUCCUGCUGCAGUCUAGACUGGGUUCUCUAGGCCUGUGGCUGUCAGCUGUCAUGCCGGGCCUUCUCUUCAUUCUUAUUCUGGGAAGUCUCUUUGUCUCUUUCCUGGGUUGGGGCCCCUGUUUGUCUGAAUCCCUUAUUUUCUCUUUUUUGGUUAACUACCUUGUUUUACUGUAGAUAAUCUAUUUUGGCCCCCAAACUCAUCUUGGGUUUGUCUCCUUCCUUCCUUCCUUUCUUCCUUCCUUCCCUCCUCCUCCUCCUGCUUUUCUUUCUUUUUUCUCUUUCUUUCUUUCUCUUUCUUUCUUUCUUUCUUUCUUUCUUUCUUUCUUUCUUUCUUUCUUUCUUUCUUUCUUCUUUCUCUCUUUGUCUUCCCUUCUUUCUUUUCUUCCUUCCUUUCCCUUCCUUCCUUCCUUCCUUCCUUCCUUCCUUCCUUCCUUCCUUCCUCCUUCCUUCAAGCUUUCUUUCUUUUUCUUUCUUCUUUCUCUCUCUCUGGAAGUCAUUUGUCCUGUUGGGCAUAGGAGGACGGUAGUAGUGAAUGUUUGGGCAACCUUCUUUAGCAUGGAAAGCAAACCUCUCCCUUCUCUUUCAGAAAUGGGAGAUCUGGAAAUACUGUUUCUGGAGAAAGCUCUUCCUGACCUUGAGGAAAGGAAUCAAUGCUCUGGGGUCCAGGUUUAAUGGAUUAUCAUUCCUGUUAGCCAUUAAUAGCUACUGUGUCAGAAAAAGAGAAAAUAGAAUUUUUCUUCAGUGGCAACAGGAGAAAGGGGACGUAGGUUAAAUUGGCUGAGGAAGGGGGGAGAAGUGUAUGUGUGGAAGUGAACACAAGGGCUAGCAGGGAGGUCACUGCCAGAGAAGUUCCAUGCCCCACCCUGAUGGUCCUGGUCUGUAUUGGGAGCUUCGGUGCUGGCCUUAAGCGUACUGCAGGUGAACGACAGCCACUGUGGGUGCCCAGCUGAGUCCUCUUUCCUUUACUCCGCAGCAAUCAGAGGAAGCUACUCUCUGAUUUGUAACCUACUUCUGUCUCCAGGACAACCAUAAGACCAAAGGACUCCUUGGACACCUAGUCAGGAGGGUGGUGAGUUGAACUGAGCAAGCUUGAGCAUCUCAAACUGAAGUGGACACUUGCGCUUUAUACAGAUUUUCUUCAAUAUACGGCUUAAAUGAAGAGGGAACCAGCAAAGAGCAAAAAUUACAACCAAGCAGAAAACUGUUUUUGCCACUUCUCGACGCUAAAGGAAAGUGAGAAAAAAAUAGGACAACAAAUUUAGUGUUUUUAUACUAGAUGCAAGAACUACAGUACCAAGAAGUAGCAGACACCAGAGAAAGAAUAAUUCAAAGAAGAGCCAGGAGAACAGCCUGGCUUACACUGCCUCUACCUCUUCAAGAUUCUAAGGGUACCAUGACGAAGCCAAUCGCUUCAGGAAUGGCCAGGAUAAAGGACAGGAUCCAGAUGGAGACAAUUUCAAUGGCAGUUACCAAAGGAAUCCCAAUUCCCUGAACACGACUCCAGGAGGCAACUGCUCUGUACCUGAAAAAAAGGUUCCAGGUCUGGCCUCUGAAAGGAGCCUUGAGCCUGCUGGAGCAAAAACAGAGAGGACCCUGAGACUACAUGGAGGGGGAGAUGGGCUCUGCUGAGCUCAGACAUCCAGCUGUCCCUGCCAAGGUGCCAGGCAUGUGAGUGUUGGACCUCUGACACAAGCUCAGAGUCAGCUGAAGUCCACCAACCCCAGGUGACGUGACAAGGAGCAGAAGAAUUGCCCAAAUUCCUGACCUUCAACAUGGUGAGAUAUGAUAAAACGGUUGUUGUUCUGAAUUGCUAAGUUUUGGGGUAGUUAUCAAAGAGAAGUGGGGUAGCAAAAUUAACCAGUUGCCUGAUCUUGACAAUAGAAUAAGAUAAAAGAACAAAUAACUCAGUACGAUAGUGAACAGACUCCCAAAUAAGAUCCUAUUGCCCUAGCCAGCCUUGGACUUUGUCCAGUUCCCUGCUCAUGUCUUCUGGCUCAGACCCUUCCUCUGUGUCUUCACUAUUGUCAUGGUGCAAUAGAAAACCAUAACACCAGGAAAAUAAGGAGAAACCAAGUCCAACUCUAACAAAGAGGUUUUUCUGAAAACCACCUUCAUGUUUCUUGAGUUAGGAUAUACCUUUGAGAAUAUCACAGAGACCACUGAUCAAUUAUUUGAAAUGAUGGGUUCAAGAACUGACAUCAGCUUUUCAGCCAUAUAAAACAAAGCUGCCUCAUUAAUGGAUCUUUGCAACUUUUCCAAGUAUCUAAUAACACAUCACUCUGGAAUAGUUGUUAAAAGAGUUUUAUCUUUUUAUAGCCUUCUUCCCCAGGCAACUUUUAACAAGUUGGAUCUGUACCCAGACCUUUUUACUGGUCUGACCCCAUCAUCAUCAUCUUCCACUUUAACACGAUUUUGCAAAGAUCAACAGUGAUCCCUCCUACCCCUCUCCUGCUGCUGCUUUUUUUUUUUUUGCCUCCAAACAAACUCAAAGUAAUAUAUAAAACUUGUCACUUUCAGCAUGUAAAAAUAACUAUUUUAAUAGCUGGUAAUGGCUGGUUAUUCAUUUUUGUUGGGAAAAGUUUAUUCAUUAUAGAAGUAUACUGCCUUAGAAUUAAAAAGAUAAUUCAACAAGAAAGCUGGAUAGGGGUCAAAAUUUGUUUCUGAAUUUCUUCAGUUCCUGAUUUGUCUUUUUCUCAAAUGACCAAGGAUGUGAAACUAGAUUUGCGGAGGAAUUAUUCAAAAGGUUAAACUGAGACAAGUCCAUAGUUGAAAUUAGCAAUGAAAGCCUAUCCAUUCUGGCAGAAAUCAUGUGCUUUCUCUCAGUCCUGUUUAGCUUAUUCAGAUUAAAAGCUGAUAGUGAGAAAGCUAGAUAUUUUCUUUGAUCUUACAUCAUUCUGUAAUCAUUGAUUGACGAAGUAAUAAAGAAAUCCUAUAGAACUUGGAUGUAAGGUUUCUCUCAUUUUCUUUCAAACAACUCUGAAAUGUGAGAUAAUUAUGUUUUUAAAAUACUGUGUAAAAAAAUCAUGGGAACUCUUUGUCCUGGGCCAUAAUUUAUUCAGCUCAUAAAAUGAAAGCAGGGAUUCACAAACUGCAACAGGUUCCAAACUCCCUUUUCAUUCCUUGUUUCAUUUUAAAAAGUGUUUUUUAUUUUUUAUUUUUAUUUUUUUUUGUAGUAGUAGAAUAUAAUGCAACCAAAUUAAGAGUUAAAGCAAAUGGAAUCUUAUCUUCAGGAAUUAAGUGUGAAUGAUUCAUUCUCUCGUGUGAAAGCUUUUGAAAUAGAAAUGUCAAAUAGAUUCCCUACAUACAAGUCCUGAAGCUUAGGGUCAAUACCAAAUGAAAUGUAAAAAUAGUAAAGUGUGUGUCUAGGGAACAAAGAAUGAUUAGUUUAUUUUCAAGGAAAGACCUUUUGGAUUAAGGCUGAUUUUUGUGAGAGUGGAAUUUUAAAAUAGUUCAUUUCCUUGAUCUACAACUCAGAUCAAAUCUUAAUGAGAUAGAUUCUUGGCAUCAUUUUUUCUUACUUUCUUUUCUUUUUUUUCUUUUCUUUCUUUUCCUUCCCUCCUUCCUUCAGUCCUUCCUUUCUUUUUAACUAAGAAUGACUCACAUUUCAUUUGAUACACAACUAUUUAUCGUGAUGGAACAUCUUAUUUCUUUUUCU